RNAcentral lists this ribosomal RNA (1372 nucleotides) under uncultured bacterium. RNAcentral describes it as "bacterial SSU rRNA". It matches the Rfam family "Bacterial small subunit ribosomal RNA", at positions 28 to 1381 of the family's 1533-position model. The record is from RNAcentral.
GAUGAACGCUGGCGGCGUGCCUAAUACAUGCAAGUCGAGCGAACGGACGAGAAGCUUGCUUUUCUGAUGUUAGCGGCGGACGGGUGAGUAACACGUGGAUAACCUACCUAUAAGACUGGGAUAACUUCGGGAAACCGGAGCUAAUACCGGAUAAUAUUUUGAACCGCAUGGUUCAAAAGUGAAAGACGGUCUUGCUGUCACUUAUAGAUGGAUCCGCGCUGCAUUAGCUAGUUGGUAAGGUAACGGCUUACCAAGGCAACGAUGCAUAGCCGACCUGAGAGGGUGAUCGGCCACACUGGAACUGAGACACGGUCCAGACUCCUACGGGAGGCAGCAGUAGGGAAUCUUCCGCAAUGGGCGAAAGCCUGACGGAGCAACGCCGCGUGAGUGAUGAAGGUCUUCGGAUCGUAAAACUCUGUUAUUAGGGAAGAACAUAUGUGUAAGUAACUGUGCACAUCUUGACGGUACCUAAUCAGAAAGCCACGGCUAACUACGUGCCAGCAGCCGCGGUAAUACGUAGGUGGCAAGCGUUAUCCGGAAUUAUUGGGCGUAAAGCGCGCGUAGGCGGUUUUUUAAGUCUGAUGUGAAAGCCCACGGCUCAACCGUGGAGGGUCAUUGGAAACUGGAAAACUUGAGUGCAGAAGAGGAAAGUGGAAUUCCAUGUGUAGCGGUGAGAUGCGCAGAGAUGUGGAGGAACACCAGUGGCGAAGGCGACUUUCUGGUCUGUAACUGACGCUGAUGUGCGAAAGCGUGGGGAUCAAACAGGAUUAGAUACCCUGGUAGUCCACGCCGUAAACGAUGAGUGCUAAGUGUUAGGGGGUUUCCGCCCCUUAGUGCUGCAGCUAACGCAUUAAGCACUCCGCCUGGGGAGUACGACCGCAAGGUUGAAACUCAAAGGAAUUGACGGGGGCCCGCACAAGCGGUGGAGCAUGUGGUUUAAUUCGAAGCAACGCGAAGAACCUUACCAAAUCUUGACAUCCUUUGACAACUCUAGAGAUAGAGCCUUCCCCUUCGGGGGACAAAGUGACAGGUGGUGCAUGGUUGUCGUCAGCUCGUGUCGUGAGAUGUUGGGUUAAGUCCCGCAACGAGCGCAACCCUUAAGCUUAGUUGCCAUCAUUAAGUUGGGCACUCUAAGUUGACUGCCGGUGACAAACCGGAGGAAGGUGGGGAUGACGUCAAAUCAUCAUGCCCCUUAUGAUUUGGGCUACACACGUGCUACAAUGGACAAUACAAAGGGCAGCGAAACCGCGAGGUCAAGCAAAUCCCAUAAAGUUGUUCUCAGUUCGGAUUGUAGUCUGCAACUCGACUACAUGAAGCUGGAAUCGCUAGUAAUCGUAGAUCAGCAUGCUACGGUGAAUACGUUCCCGGGUCU